AGUGAACGCUGGCGGUAGGCCUAACACAUGCAAGUCGAACGGCAGCACAGUAAGAGCUUGCUCUUACGGGUGGCGAGUGGCGGACGGGUGAGGAAUACAUCGGAAUCUACUUUUUCGUGGGGGAUAACGUAGGGAAACUUACGCUAAUACCGCAUACGACCUACGGGUGAAAGCAGGGGAUCUUCGGACCUUGCGCGAUUGAAUGAGCCGAUGUCGGAUUAGCUAGUUGGCGGGGUAAAGGCCCACCAAGGCGACGAUCCGUAGCCGGUCUGAGAGGAUGAUCAGCCACACUGGAACUGGGACACGGUCCAGACUCCUACGGGAGGCAGCAGUGGGGAAUAUUGGACAAUGGGCGCAAGCCUGAUCCAGCCAUCCCGCGUGGGUGAAGAAGGCCUUCGGGUUGUAAAGCCCUUUUGUUGGGAAAGAAAAGCAGCAGGUUAAUACCCCGCUGUUCUGACGGUACCCAAAGAAUAAGCACCGGCUAACUUCGUG
This 492-nucleotide ribosomal RNA is filed under the name uncultured bacterium. Its description in RNAcentral is "partial 16S ribosomal RNA". It matches the Rfam family "Bacterial small subunit ribosomal RNA", at positions 29 to 507 of the family's 1533-position model. The record is from RNAcentral.